AAUUUUAAAAUUAUGAUUGAACGUGCAUUCCUCACUGUCAAGAUUUACAAUUAAAAGGCAACUACAUAACAGGCAGCCCCAUUGUAACUCCUACCACAUUGAUGUUCAUCAUUUCAAUAUUAUUAUUGCAUUGCAACCCGAAAAGAAAGAACACAAAAGCCGAACAUAAGUUCAACUGAAAACCAUUCAAUAUUCCUAUAUUAUGGGCCCUUAGCCCAUUAUUAAAAAAGUAAAAAAAUAAUAAGGAAAUACGAAAAACUACAAAAUUCAGUGCAGACUGGCGAAAAUACGAUCAAGCCGCAUUCUAGUACAUGACUGUGUUCUCUAGCCAAAUGAUCACAAUAGGGCCAUGGUGAGGUCUACAAUUAUGGGUGGUCAUCUCUACCUUCUCAAUGCAUAUCACUAUCCUUGCUCUAAAUUCUUCUUCUCUUAGACCUGGAUUUAAUCAAUGUUGCCAUAACUUGACGUAAUGGUUCCAUUACUUUCUUUGUUAUUUCCUUAGUCAUCAGGACUCAUAGUCCUUGAAGUUCUUAGAGCUACUUAUCCUUGUUCAUGCCCACAUCAUACUCUCAUUCUUGAAGUGGAUAUGUCCUCAAAUUUGAUCUUCCUCACCUGCACCAAAAGAAUUUAAGUCAAUUACAUGAAAGGUUGUACUUACAUUAUACUAAUCAGGAAGAUUUAUUUUGUCGGUUUUUUAUUGAUCAUGUUGCACUACUUUGAAAGGCCCAUCUCCCCUAGGUUGUAUAUCUUAGACUUCAUAUUUGUUGGGAAUCUUAUCCUUCUCAUGUGUAUUCACACUCAAUCUCCAUGUUCAAAUGCCAUUUUCCUUAUCCCUUUGUUUGAUUGUUU
Molecule: long non-coding RNA, 849 nt
Filed under: Lupinus angustifolius (narrow-leaved blue lupine)
Lineage: Eukaryota; Viridiplantae; Streptophyta; Magnoliopsida; Fabales; Fabaceae
Description: long non-coding RNA (LANG_LNC002435)
Source: RNAcentral